GGCCUGCCAGGGUACCCUGCUAAUU
RNAcentral lists this non-coding RNA (25 nucleotides) under Rattus norvegicus (Norway rat). The record is from RNAcentral. Lineage: Eukaryota; Metazoa; Chordata; Mammalia; Rodentia; Muridae.